UAGGGAGACCUAAUCCAUUUAGAAAUCGAAAACAAUGAAAAUUGUCAAUAGAAACUAAAUUGGUCUAACCUAGGUCGUUCGAGAUUGGUAGACAUCUUUCAAAGUAUUAUUCGGCUUCGUUCAAAACCAUAUAUAAUAAGUGGAAAAAGACAGCACCUAAUUGUCAAAGUUAGACUGCUGGAUGAAGUUCCAGCCAGAACCUUGAAAACUGCAUAAGAGAACAAGAAAAAGCAGGCAGACACAGACAUUUAGAUGGAUGUGGAAGCAAAAGAAAUUGU
Molecule: unclassified non-coding RNA, 278 nt
Filed under: uncultured Anabaena sp.
Lineage: Bacteria; Bacillati; Cyanobacteriota; Cyanophyceae; Nostocales; Nostocaceae
Description: partial 16S-23S ribosomal RNA intergenic spacer
Source: RNAcentral